Molecule: transfer RNA, 91 nt
Filed under: Nitrososphaeria archaeon
Lineage: Archaea; Thermoproteati; Nitrososphaerota; Nitrososphaeria
Description: tRNA-Gly
Rfam family: tRNA
About the family: Transfer RNA (tRNA) molecules are approximately 80 nucleotides in length. Their secondary structure includes four short double-helical elements and three loops (D, anti-codon, and T loops).
Source: RNAcentral
GCGGCCGUAGUCUAGUCUGGUAGGACAUCCCUAGAGACCUAUGACCAGCCUGCCAAGCUGGUAGUCCCGGGUUCAAAUCCCGGCGGCCGCA